AACGAACGCUGGCGGCAUGCCUAACACAUGCAAGUCGAAUGAAGCCUUCGGGCUUAGUGGCGCACGGGUGCGUAACGCGCGGGAAUCUGCCCUUUGGUUCGGAAUAACAGUUGGAAACGACUGCUAAUACCGGAUGAUGACGAAAGUCCAAAGAUUUAUCGCCAGAGGAUGAGCCCGCGUAGGAUUAGCUAGUUGGUGUGGUAAAGGCGCACCAAGGCGACGAUCCUUAGCUGGUCUGAGAGGAUGAUCAGCCACACUGGGACGGAGACACGGCCCAGACUCCUACGGGAGGCAGCAGUGGGGAAUAUUGGACAAUGGGCGAAAGCCUGAUCCAGCAAUGCCGCGUGAGUGAUGAAGGCCCUAGGGUUGUAAAGCUCUUUUACCCGGGAUGAUAAUGACAGUACCGGGAGAAUAAGCCCCGGCUAACUCCGUGCCAGCCGCCGCGGUAA
This 449-nucleotide ribosomal RNA is filed under the name uncultured bacterium. RNAcentral's name for it is "partial 16S ribosomal RNA". It matches the Rfam family "Bacterial small subunit ribosomal RNA", at positions 29 to 523 of the family's 1533-position model. The record is from RNAcentral.